RNAcentral lists this ribosomal RNA (499 nucleotides) under uncultured bacterium. RNAcentral's name for it is "partial 16S ribosomal RNA". It matches the Rfam family "Bacterial small subunit ribosomal RNA", at positions 29 to 523 of the family's 1533-position model. The record is from RNAcentral.
AUUGAACGCUGGCGGCAUGCCUUACACAUGCAAGUCGAGCGGCAGCACGGGAGCAAUCCUGGUGGCGAGUGGCGAACGGGUGAGUAGUACAUCGGAACGUGCCUAGUAGUGGGGGAUAGCCCGGCGAAAGCCGGAUUAAUACCGCAUACGACCUGAGGGUGAAAGCGGGGGAUCGCAAGACCUCGGGCUAUCAGAGCGGCCGAUGCAAGAUUAGGUAGUUGGUGGGGUAAAAGCCUACCAAGCCGACGAUCUGUAGCUGGUCUGAGAGGACGACCAGCCACACUGGGACUGAGACACGGCCCAGACUCCUACGGGAGGCAGCAGUGGGAAUUUUGGACAAUGGGCGCAAGCCUGAUCCAGCCAUGCCGCGUGCAGGAAGAAGGCCUUCGGGUUGUAAACUGCUUUUGUCAGGGAAGAAAAGUUCUGGGCUAAUACCCCGGAGCGAUGACGGUACCUGAAGAAUAAGCACCGGCUAACUACGUGCCAGCCGCCGCCGUAA